UACGACAGUCUGGCAACGGCCAUGCUAUACGUAUUGUUGUGCUGGAAGCUUCCCCCGGCGACCAUAGGCCUCUAGAAGGCUCCCGGAGAAACGAGCAAGGGGGCGGGGAGCAAGGCGAGCCGUCCGCUCCCCGCGGGGCGCGGCCUGGCGCCAGGCGGGAAGUGUUGCCAACUCCCAUAUAUUUUUGCUACAUGUUCUUGUAUGAUCUAAAAUAUACUGUAACAUUCUAGACUGUACUGUUCUGGAUAUAUAUAGGAGAAGAGGGCGAGAGAGGGCCAGUCCCAGUCACAGUAAGCUAGUGUUAAGUGAAGAGUCAGAGUGAAGUGUACUACUAAGGAAGAAUAUUAAACUACAGAAGUUGUGCAAAGUGUUUAUAUAUAUCUCCCUCCCACGGAGUCUUGUGACGGCGACACGGAACCCAAGUAACACGUCCGGCAUAACAGUAUUUUCAUAUUAUUGUUCUGUUUUGAAUGUUGUGUUCAAGAAAAAGAAUACUCAUAAUUUUAGUUAAUUUUUUGGUUAUAAGGAUUCUUUACGAAAUACAAUUAUAACAUUACCUGCUUUAGUUGUAUAAUGAUUGAUUGAUAGUUUAUUGUUGCAGGUAAACAACAAGGGAGAAGGGAGCACACUCUGUCCUGCCUGGGGGUUGGGAUGGCAUGUUCCUCCCUUCUCCCUUGUUGUUUACCUGCAACAAUAAGCUAUCAAUCAAUCACCUUCUUUUACUUAGGAAACGUCCUGAAUUUGUGGGAAAAAAAGAGCGUUUGUGGGAGUUUUACUUUUGAGGUGGCAACACUGAGAGCAACGUUACGAGAUUGUCGUACUCAGCUUCAUAUAUUUACCAACUUCCGACCCAAAAACUGUCUCCUAGGCCCCAAUAACUAGAUUCAUUUAUAUCUAUCGUUAAAAUAGUUGAUGCCUGAUGUUUUUUGGCAAUAGUUAGCCGUCAAAAGCCCUUAAAUACAAUGCCCUGAGUACGAUAAUCUGGUAAAGGUGACUGAGAGAACUGUACAGCAAGAGCAAGAGCAAGAGGAUACAGUUGCACUGACAGUGGGGUGAAAAGUGUGUAAUAGUGGAAAAUAGCAAAGCACACGGGCAAGUAAAUCAGGGAAAGAAAAGGAUGAAGUGCUUAAGAAAGUGAUGUAAGACAGAAAAGAAAAGUGUGAAUACGUGAAAAAGAAGAAGAGGAACGAAAGGAGGAGGACUUGAUAAGCCAUACAAAGGCGUCACAGGUCAAAAGAAGAAGAAGAAGAAUGGUGGGUGGGCGUGUAUUCUUGGUCGUCCUGCUCGUUGUGGCCUAUGUGUGCGCCAAGCCUCCUGAUGUAGUCGUGAAGAAGGGAGAAGAUAAAAUAAUCUAUCAGAAUGAAACACAAGCACAAAACGCCGCGUCGACAUCGUUGUGUGUGAAGCCUGGAGGUUUGUUGAGUGUCUGCGUCAAGGUGGAAGACGAAACACUUGCAAAAAAUGCUGAGGGAUGUUUCGAUACCAAGAGCUGCAGCCUGACCAGUGCCCCGUGGAAGCUGGUGACGGUGGAAGCAAAGGUCUUGCCGGGCAUAGUUUCCACACGCUUCAGCGUCGAAUAUAAUCUGACCUUCGACGGUUGUGUCCAAACGAAAAAGGAAGUUUACGAGUCGGAAAACAUUGCACGCCUGACGGUUUCUGCAGGUGGUGCCUCUGAAUGGCAACUCAACGGCUGCCCUGACCCCACCACGGAGGACCCUUCCUCUGACUCGCUGCCCACAUAUGUCAUUGUGAUAAUAGUGCUGGUGGCUUUGGCGGUGGCGGCGGUGGCGGCGGUGCUGGGUGUGGUCUUUUUGAAGCGGAAGUAGACUCUUGGCCCCACGUUAGUAAAGUCUUGAGGUGCAUGCAGUCAUCCGGCCGCCGAGUUACAGACACAGGAUAUUCUGGGCAGGUCAUCAAGAACAGCUUGUAUGAAACCCCUGCCCGGCCCCGUGACCCCAGCCGCCCACCAGUAACAGCCAGGGAUGGUGCAGGUCAUCGAGAACAGCCUGUAUGAACCCCUGCCCGGCCCUGUGAUCCUGCUUCCACCCAGAAAUCGUAGUGCCACAGUCCACCUUGUGUCUUGAGCCUAGGUUCAAUUCCCGGCCAGGUUGUUGGGAAAAAAAUAUUCCCGAGUAGAUUUGUUCCCCUUGUGCUUGGAGGAGCGGUGAUCUCCCCCAUGAGGGUGGCGGCUUAGAAUACAGGACGUUUCGACGGAAGUACAAUUCGACGGUCUGUCUUGGACGAAUCGACGGUGUGGAUAUUUUCCAGUCGAAUAAUCUUGAGCGAUUCGACGGUCCAUUCACGUUACAUAAUUAUUCAUAUACUAUUUAUCAUUAUUCAGAUAGCAUGUGUUAAAAUAUUUUAUUGUACAAUAAUAAAGAUUGAUUGAUUGAUUGAUAGUUUAUUGUUGCAGGUAAACAACAAGGGAGAAGGGAGGAACAUGCCACCCAACCCCCAGGCAGGACAUUAUACAACUAUUAAUACAUGUGUAGGUAGCACCAUGAAAUUAAAAAGAUACAAUGGUAGGAAGGAAAGCACAACAAGGGAGGGGGCAGUACCUCCCCAUGGACAAUAAGACAAUAAAAUGUGGGGACGGAGAACAUUGCCCAAGCACUAGAUGGGAAUGAAUACAGAGAUAGAGUAAAUACUAGUCCUUAAAGUAAAAUACUGCAGAGAUCACAGCCUUGUAUAGCACGGCAGUAGUUCAGGCUGCCACACACGGCAUCACCACCUUGGUGCAAACUGAGGGUGCAUGUUCUUUGAGGAUAGCGGGGAGGACAUCAUGGGAUAAACCAGACAUGGCUAAAUUAGGAUAGCUAAAAUAAAAUAAACAUUAGGAUUAACGGUAUACAGGACUUUAUUUGUCAUUAUUCAGGUAACACAUGGAUAAAAUAUUUAUUGCACAUUUAUUAAAAGAUAGCUUAUAUAUAGCCUACACUUAAAAAAUUCAUUACUUUUCCAUAUUUUCAUCUGCUGACCUAAUUUGAGGAUGGUGAUACUGGGAGACACGGCGCAGUAACUCUUGAGGCUGUAGCUGGCCAUCUUUGUACGCUUCCCAUAUGUCAAAAAUGUUCUUCUGGUAAUUCUUGUAUAUUUUAAACAUACGUUAUAUGUCAUAUUUUAUUAUGAUAGUAUUUUGUUUGGUGAUUAUAAUAUUAUGUUAUGUGGACGAUACGACGGGAAAUUCCGGGGCGUUUCGACGGGGACGUGAUUUUGGGCGGAUCGACGAUGUCGUCGAAUUGCACCGCCGUCGAAUCGUCCUGUUACCGGCGGCUUACAUCCGGCAUCCCUCCCUAGCCUGUGUUUCUCCACGACGGGGCAGGAACUGGAUGGCUCGCUUCAUCAUUUAUAUAGCUGUCUCCUCAUCAUGUCGCAGCCCCAACAAGAAUACCUUGCCAGACUCUUCCCUGUGUCUGUAACUCCUGCCAAGUGUCCUUAUUUCUGGCCGGACCGUAGGCUGGGCGGCGAGGCAGAACCUGGGCAGAUUAGAAGGUGAAUUUACCCCUUCGGUUUUGAUUUUUUUCGAGUCUAGUUGUGGUUCACGUGUGGUUAGUUUAUAUUAAUCUUCCCAUAAUGAGAUCCCUACAUAAGAUUUUGAUGUAUGUACUUGUAUGUUUACAUAUUAUCCAGACAUGGGGUAGUAGUUAAUUCAACCAAUUAAAUAUUUAGUAUGGCACAUGUGUAUGAAAUUUGCAAGUUCACCUUUCAGUCCUUCAUGUAAUCACGAUUGUAAUCUCAAUUAAUACAUCAUGUAAUCAUAAUCUAUUACACUUAACUUCAUUGUAUUCGUAAUCGUGAAAAUAUGAAGUAAUCGUAAUCGACUACAUAACAUAAGUAAUCGCCCCGUGUCUGAUCUUAUAAUCAAUCUACAGGUAGGCAUGAAUAUUAUAUGUAACUAAUUUAUUACUUCUAGUCCAGUAACAGUAGCAGCAGCAACAGUGGUAGUGGCAGGAGUAUAGUAGUAGUAGUAGUUGUAGUAGUAGUAAUAGUAGUUGUAGUUGUAGUAGUAGUAAUAAUAGUUGUAGUUGUAGUAGUAGUAAUAGUAGUUGUAGUAGUAGUAGUAGUAUAGUAAGACUCACCAUAGAGUGCGGCUGUGUCUGUGGCCUAUGAGGAACAAGCGGAAGUACAGCAAUGCCACGUUUUUAACCCCUUCAACACGAGGACGAGUAUACUGUGUCCCUGUGUGCCCAUUACCAUAUCCGUGAACGCGUAUACUGUGUCCUGGCUAUCUUUAGCCAAUAUACGAGUUAUUUUAUCUAUAUUUAUGCUUACAUCUCAAAAUUAUCAAUUAAUUUAUGUUUCUCUAUGUGCACCAUUUAAUUCUGCAUGUUUUCAUAUAUAAUACAUGAUGAUUGUGUUGAGUUUAUGGCUGAAAACUUGUUAUAUUCAAUAGCAACAUUUGAAAUUUGACGCACACGGCGAUCUCGGAUACGGCACAGGGCGCUGUUUUGGCCCAGCUGUAGUAAGUUUCUUUAUGUGCACCAUUUAAUUCUGUAUGUUUUCAUAUAUGAUACAUGACGAUUAUGUAGAGCUUAUGGCUGAAAACUUGUUACAUUCAAUAGCGACAUUUGAAAUUAAGCGCGCGCGGCAAUCUCGGAUGCGGUGUGGGGCACUGUCUUGGCCCGAUCGUAGUGAAGUGGUUAACCCCACAUUGAUUGCCUCUCUGUCUCUUGUGCCGUUACCGCCACGAGGAUUUGAAUUUUUUUUCUUAACCCGGUAGCAGCGAGGAUCCUGUUUCUUAAUGAUCCCUCUAAGUGAGAAAAAUGAGAAAAAAUCUCCCAUCACACAAAUUCAAUAUAAUAUAUAUUGAAUCAUUUGUGAUCAGUUUAUGCAUCAUCUAUUUUGGGUGGUUUAUAUUGUGGCACAAAACUGGCCCGUUGCUGCUACACGGUAAAGCCACAAAUUUGGCCCGUCGCUGCUACCGGGUUAAAGGAUGUCGCCUUUUCAUGUGGAGAUGACUUUUUUUGGAUGAUGAUAGUUAGUAGAAAUACUAAACUACCAAACAUUAAUUUCAUACCUUGAUAAUGUGUAAUUACAAUGUGUUUAUAUAUUUCUCACUUCUUUUUUAACUUUUUUUUUCAGCUAAGGAGACAGUUCAAGGGCAUAAAAAAAUUAUUAAAAAAAGGCCCACUACUUACUGCUCCUGAAUAGAAGUCAAAGGAGUGUCCAAAAAGAGAGGUCAAUUUCGGGAGGAGAGGUGUCCUAAUACCCUCCUCUUAGGUGUAAUAUGUAAGCUGUUACUAUAUCUAGGGUAGGCGGUGGCCGAAGUGAUAGCGUACUGGACCCACAUUUGCCGCGUGAUGGACGACGCAGGUUCGAAUCCUCACGCUACCACUCGGAUUUUUCAGUCACCGCCGAGUGGCUUAAAACUACCCACAUGCUGUCCUGAAGACCACCCAUCAACCCGGACUCUAGAGGAAGCCGUCCAAGCGAAUCAAGUACGAGUUCCGGGGGGCAGCAUGAGCCAAUGCAAGAUGGCGCCACUAUAAACACUCGCCUGCGCCAGAACGGGCUGGGCCGACCAUCAGGCCCCACCUGGAAGAAGCCUUGGGCCGACCAUCAGGCCCCACCGGGAAGAUGCCUACCGGCGCAAUAGGCAACAACGUAAAAAAAAAAAAAAAAAAAAUCAUAGUUCAGGUAACUCUCAAUUUACUUGAGUUUGGUUUACGAGUUUUUUAAAUAACGCUGGGUCCAAAAUCCAAAUCAAUGUUUAAUUUACAUGUUUUUUUCACUUAUACGUGAUAUUUUAUGGAGUGGCCACCAGAUGUCUCACACAACUGGACUCACACGGCGCCGCGGCCACACAGCUGAGCUCAGUUCUUCCCGCGCACCACUUACAUAUAGUACCCACGCUGCCAUGCUAUUCAACAACAACAACACCCUCGCUGCUGUGCUACCACGAGGGAAAGGGCAGCCAGAGGAGGAACCACGACAGGGAGAGGAGUCAGAGUGAUACAGUAGGCAGUAAAGGUACAAACCUUCCUCUUGUUUGAUUUACAUUGUUUUUGAUUUAUGCGACCUCUUCAAGGACACAAUACUCGCGUAAAUCGAGUUACCUGUACUGUUAUCUUUUCUCUAGUCUCCAAAUAGGCAUAUUUUUUUUCCUAUAUCUACAAAGUAUACUGGUAUAUAGUUUUGCUAAAAGAUAUGUCACCAAUAUGCUGAUUUGUGAUGGUCUAAUGGAAAUAGAAAAUUAUACUUUCGAGCAAACAUUUAUUUCAGUGUUCCUAGGUAGUUUUGUUAUAAAAAAGUAUAUACUGUUUUAUGCAUUUUAUGAUAAAUAGUAGAAGAAAUAACAAGUAAAAAGAGCUGGCACACAUUAAGGCAAUGUUAUAUAAUUCUGGGGAAAUUGUGACCAAAAUCUUGGGAAAUUUUAACAUGUAUUUGGGGAAAUCCUGGAAUGGCAAAGUCUUUCACACUUCACUUGUCAUCAUAUAUGCUGCUGCUCCAUAUCACCUGUGACUUCUGGUAGGUAUUAAUUUCUAAACUCUUAAAUUACAAUUUUCUCACUCCUCCCCCCUUAAAACCCCUCUGGUCAAUCUCUUACAGCCCUUUCUCACAUAAUUAAUGUCUGUCCUAGAGUGUUCGCCGUGCACCCAAGUGGCCCAAGUUGGUGAGAUUGGUAGCACCUCGUUAUCCCUGGCAGAGCUAUAAGCCCUUAAAUGAUGCUUAGCUCGGGGGAUUAUUUAAUCACCUUUUUUAAUCAAACAUAAUAUCCUUACUCUAGUAGCCACUGCAUUGUCCUCACCCCACAUGAUUGUUCCUAAGAUUUUCAUCUGUAUCUUUUACUUCUAGACCAAACACCAUAUCAAUAAAACAGGCAUUAACCAAUCAUGAGCCCCCUCAAAAUGGUUCAUCCAUAAGUGGGCACACAUAACAAUUAUGAAGUUAAUGUAAUGUAGCAAAUGUUUUGACCUGGUAGACUGGCCAUUAAUACAUGAAUAGAAAGGAAGAAAACAUUACAUGUACUUAAAUCAGAGGUAAUGAUAUAUUCACAAUAUUCAACUUGCAUCAGCUUAAAUCCUUUUGUUACAUAAACACUAAUAAAUGGAGGUUGAUGAUGCAGACAUGGCAUUUUUUAUUGAUUGUAUUAUCCCCUUCCAUUUUUUCAGCAUAAUUACAUACAAAAUAUAUCCAAAGAAGUAAUGAUACAAAGGAAGAACAAACGGGGCUGCCUGACAAAAGUUUUGGCCAGUGGAAUGGGCCAUGUAUCAGACACAUUCCAAAAUUAUGUACUACUAACAAGUAGAGCCAUAAUAAAGAUCAUAAAACUCUACAGAUGGAGGAAAUAAACAGAAAAUCACAGAUGCAGAUGGUCAGUGGAAAAUGAAAAAUCACUCGGUUACAUGAGCUUCAAUACGUACCCACUCAAUUAUUUACUUGUUACUUGAGCACUGCUAUUCACACCUCACAACAUACCUUAAUACCUCAGUUACUGUGUUCAUAGUCAAUACCACCUUCUGAGAACAGAGGAACACUCACACCAGACACAGACUUUGCAAGACUUUCCCCAGUGGCUUGUCUUGCUUUUGAACUAGGCUUUUUUAGGGAUGUUCCUUCAUUUUCUUACUUUCUCUUCUUUGUGGAACACAACCGGUCUUGUUUAGCAAACUUUUUUAUUACUCGGCUCUGAAACAGCUGAUUCAUCCACAGGCCACUUAUUGUCAUUUGGUAGAUAGCUCCUGCCAGCAUCGAAUGGUGCAAUUAAUUUACAUAACAAGCUGUUUGCAGUUUUCAAAACUUGAAGGUCUUUAACUUCAUCGCACUUAAGCAAAAGCUGUGACAAAAUCUUGUUCUUUAUUUGUUCCUAGUAUUUCUCAACUUGUACACCAGUGGUUUCCUCAUUACUGAUAACAUCACGGAUCGUUUCAACUUCUUCUGUUGGCAACUUGGGUUCGUCUAUUUGUGAUUUGUUUCUUAAAAAUCCUACAACUGCAUGUAUAUGCUUACAUAUGUUCUUCAUGCCUUCAGCAUUGUCAUCACAUGUGCAUAUAUCCUACAUGCAUUUACAGACAAGACAAUCUGGACACCUUUCUCUACACACUCCACAAGUAGGAUUACUCGCCUCAAUCUGAUACUGCUUGUUCUCAAAGGAUUCAGAGUACACAGUAAAAAUACCAUGAUCCUCCUGAGUAACUUCAAGCUUCAUGCCUUUUUCAUGUCUCUGGAAGGUUUUCCAGUUCUCCUCUUCAUCAAAUCAAUCAUUCUCUUAAAAAAAGUUUUUCCUUUACCAUUGGUUAAAAUUGUGAACAGGAAUGUCGAGGCAUUGCAUCCUUGCCUUAUACCAUUUGUUAUAUUUAUUGUUGUCUGCUUAGUUCCAUUUAUAAAUAUAUUAGUGAGGUCAUCUGUAUAUGUUUGCUACAAGAUUAAUGAUUUUGGGGUGGACUUCGUAAUUCAUCAGCGCUGUGAUCAGUGUUUUUUUGUCUAUUGAAUCAAAGGCUUUUUUUUAAAUCAAGUGAGGUCACAAUCGGCUCUUUUUUCAUUUUGUAACUUUGAUUAAUGUUGUAUUUUAGUGUGUAUAAAUUGUCUGUAAUUCUUCUGUCUUCAUUGAAGCCUGAUUGCAGGUUGCUAAUGUUGUCUGACUCUCAUGUGAUUUUCAAUAAUGCAGUAUUUUAGUGUGUAUAAUGUUUUUCAUUAAUGCAGUAUUUUAGUGUAUAAAUUAGAUGAGUUCUGGCCCUCGAAAAAAAUGCCAAAUUAUCUGGAAAGCAUAAUUUGGUACAGAAAAGUGGGUCUACUAUUAAGUUUUUUUUGCAUAUCCCAAUGUAAUUUAAAACAAAGUUAUGAAUAUUGAGAACAUUAUUCUUCAAUAAUCUUUGACACAGAUGCGGUAUUAUGAUAAAUGAAAUUAUGAAGCUUCAGUUGCACAGCAGCCUGAAUCUACGACCUGUUAUUCGUUGUAUUUUGGUCUACAAAAACUUCUGUACUAUCAGUUUUAGGCACUUGAUACACUAAAGCAAUUAAUAAAUCAUGAACACAGA
Eriocheir sinensis (Chinese mitten crab) is the source of this 8978-nucleotide long non-coding RNA. RefSeq lists it as uncharacterized. NCBI's taxonomy places the organism in Eukaryota, Metazoa, Arthropoda, Malacostraca, Decapoda, Varunidae. The record is from RefSeq and is a predicted model, not a curated record. The transcript is spliced from 2 exons.